Long non-coding RNA from Myiozetetes cayanensis, 242 nucleotides. RefSeq lists it as uncharacterized. The transcript has 3 exons. The record is from RefSeq and is a predicted model, not a curated record. Lineage: Eukaryota; Metazoa; Chordata; Aves; Passeriformes; Tyrannidae.
CACACCUGGGGGGGUCACCUGUCACACCUGGGGGGGUCACCUGUCCCACCUGCAGGAUAACAUCCAGCACGCUGACCCACCUGUGCAGGUGAGACUCAUUGACACACACCUGGGGGGGUCACCUGUCCCACCUGCAGGACAACAUCCAGCACGCUGACCCACCUGUGCAGAUCCUGUACAACCGCACGAUGGUCCAGCUGGGCAUCUGCGCCUUCCGCAGGGGCUGAUCAAGGACGCCCACA